CCUACGGGUGGCAGCAGUGAGGAAUAUUGGUCAAUGGGCGUAAGCCUGAACCAGCCAAGUCGCGUGAGGGAUGAAGGUUCUAUGGAUCGUAAACCUCUUUUAUAAGGGAAUAAAGUGCGGGACGUGUCCCGUUUUGUAUGUACCUUAUGAAUAAGGAUCGGCUAACUCCGUGCCAGCAGCCGCGGUAAUACGGAGGAUCCGAGCGUUAUCCGGAUUUAUUGGGUUUAAAGGGUGCGUAGGCGGCCUUUUAAGUCAGCGGUGAAAGUCUGUGGCUCAACCCCAUCCAGCCGUUGAAACUGGGGAUCUAGAGUGUGCGAGAGGUAUGCGGAAUGCGUGGUGUAGCGGUGAAAUACAUAGAUAUCACGCAGAACCCCGAUUGCGAAGGCAGCAUACCGGUGCACAACUGACGCUCAGGCACGAAAGCGUGGGUAUCGAACAGGAUUAGAUACCCUUGUAGUC
RNAcentral lists this ribosomal RNA (459 nucleotides) under uncultured bacterium. RNAcentral describes it as "partial 16S ribosomal RNA". It matches the Rfam family "Bacterial small subunit ribosomal RNA", at positions 338 to 795 of the family's 1533-position model. The record is from RNAcentral.